This 294-nucleotide ribosomal RNA is filed under the name uncultured actinomycete. RNAcentral describes it as "partial 16S ribosomal RNA". It matches the Rfam family "Bacterial small subunit ribosomal RNA", at positions 220 to 526 of the family's 1533-position model. The record is from RNAcentral. Lineage: Bacteria; Bacillati; Actinomycetota; Actinomycetes; Actinomycetales.
AUUGGAUGAGCCCGCGGCCUAUCAGCUUGCUGGUGGGGUAACGGCCUACCAAGGCGACGACGGGUAGCUGGUCUGAGAGGACGACCAGCCACACUGGGACUGAGAUACGGCCCAGACUCCUACGGGAGGCAGCAGUGGGGAAUCUUGCGCAAUGGGCGAAAGCCUGACGCAGCGACACCGCGUGAGGGACGAAGGCCCUCGGGUUGUAAACCUCUUUCGGCAGGGACGAAGCGAUCGUGACGGUACCUACAGAAGAAGCUCCGGCUAACUACGUGCCAGCAGCCGCGGCCGAAU